RNAcentral lists this ribosomal RNA (465 nucleotides) under uncultured bacterium. Its description in RNAcentral is "bacterial SSU rRNA". It matches the Rfam family "Bacterial small subunit ribosomal RNA", at positions 338 to 795 of the family's 1533-position model. The record is from RNAcentral.
CCUACGGGAUGCACCAGUGGGGAAUAUUGCACAAUGGGCGCAGGCCUGAUGCAGCCAUGCCGCGUGUAUGAAGAAGGCCUUCGGGUUGUAAAGUACUUUUAGCGGGGAGGAAGGUGUUGUGGUUAAUAACCACAGCAAUCGACGUUACCCGCAGAAGAAGCACCGGCUAACUCCGUGCCAGCAGCCGCGGUAAUACGGAGGGUGCAAGCGCUAAUCGGAAUUGCUGGGCGUAAAGCGCACGCAGGCGGUCUGUCAAGUCGGAUGUGAAAUCCCCGGCCUCAACCUGGGAACUGCAUUCGAAACUGGCAGGCUAGAGUCUUGUAGAGGGGGGUAGAAUUCCAGGUGUAGCGGUGAAAUGCGUAGAGAUCUGGAGGAAUACCGGUGGCGAAGGCGGCCCCCUGGACAAAGACUGACGCUCAGGUGCGAAAGCGUGGGGAGCAAACAGGAUUAGAUACCCGUGUAGUC